RNAcentral lists this ribosomal RNA (301 nucleotides) under uncultured bacterium. RNAcentral describes it as "partial 16S ribosomal RNA". It matches the Rfam family "Bacterial small subunit ribosomal RNA", at positions 509 to 807 of the family's 1533-position model. The record is from RNAcentral.
CAGUAGCCGCGGGAACACGUAGGUGGCAAGCGUUGUCCGGAAUUAUUGGGCGUAAAGGGCUCGCAGGCGGUUUCCUAAGUCUGAUGUGAAAGCCCCCGGCUCAACCGGGGAGGGUCAUUGGAAACUGGGAAACUUGAGUGCAGAAGAGGAGAGUGGAAUUCCACGUGUAGCGGUGAAAUGCGUAGAGAUGUGGAGGAACACCAGUGGCGAAGGCGACUCUCUGGUCUGUAACUGACGCUGAGGAGCGAAAGCGUGGGGAGCGAACAGGAUUAGAUACCCCCGUAGUCCCUGUCUCUUAUAC